UUUAUCGGAGAGUUUGAUCCUGGCUCAGGACGAACGCUGGCGGCGUGCCUAAUACAUGCAAGUCGAGCGGACAGAUGGGAGCUUGCUCCCUGAUGUUAGCGGCGGACGGGUGAGUAACACGUGGGUAACCUGCCUGUAAGACUGGGAUAACUCCGGGAAACCGGGGCUAAUACCGGAUGGUUGUUUGAACCGCAUGGUUCAAACAUAAAAGG
RNAcentral lists this ribosomal RNA (212 nucleotides) under Bacillus subtilis. RNAcentral's name for it is "partial 16S ribosomal RNA". It matches the Rfam family "Bacterial small subunit ribosomal RNA", at positions 1 to 208 of the family's 1533-position model. Lineage: Bacteria; Bacillati; Bacillota; Bacilli; Caryophanales; Bacillaceae. The record is from RNAcentral.